Cordylochernes scorpioides is the source of this 5827-nucleotide non-coding RNA. NCBI's taxonomy places the organism in Eukaryota, Metazoa, Arthropoda, Arachnida, Pseudoscorpiones, Chernetidae. The record is from the annotation of a GenBank genome assembly.
AGAGAAAUGAGACUCCCUCACAGGAGUAUGAUACAACUCUGAUCACCAGAACAUUCUUCAGAACAUUGGGAGAAGAUUUGUCUCUAGAGCAAGGUCUUAGAACACACUCACUGCUACACAUAUUACAUGACCUUUUUAUUUUUCAAAUAAAAGGUUAAAAAAACUAGAUACCCCCUUUUAACAGUAAUGUAUAAAGGUUUGCCAAUCCUUUAUGGUUGUUUACUUUUAGGCUACAACUCUAUUUAGUGUAUUCUAGCUAUCUUCAAAAGGCUUGUAUUGUCUUUCCUCUCUCUUCUGUAUGUUAUUUCAAAUAGAAGAACUAAGACACCUCAUUGUUUACUCCGGUGACUAGCAGGCACUUAAGUAAGACCUAAAUUGUCUAAAAGGAAACAAAAAUGCCUGUGAAUGUCGGCACUGAUAUUUGCAAUGUUGCAUUGUAAAUACUUUUAAGCACAGUGAAGGUACACUAACUACGGCAGCUGUGCCCUUCGUGUCAAAGUAUGGUAUUUUUAGCAAUAAAUUUGUAUUUGAACAAGAAUUAUCUAAUGUUGUCAAAAUUUGAUUUUAAAAAUCUGUCAAAUUAUCAUUUGGUUGAAUUUACCAUCAUGAUUUUAUAGGCUGGAGGUCGGGAAAUGAAAACGUGGUCGAAAUCGUAUAAGCGUCAAAUUAUUGUGUCAAAUUAACAAGGUUAUACUGUAUAUUAUUCCACUAAAAAAUUGACCCUGUUUUACCCAAGUUUUGUUUGAGUAAGUGUGUUCCCAAUCAAUAUUGUUUUAUCAAAAGUGUUUUUUUUUUUUUUUUUAUUAUCCCUAGUACACGUGGUACAGGCCAUGGUAAUCAUGGUGAGUAGUUAGCGACUGCUUUUACUGUAAGUGCACCACAUGUCUACACAUGUGAAAAGCAGUUCGACUUUGCACUUACAAAUGUGCCAGCGCCCCGUUUGGUUACUUGCACUCUCUGGUGGGGUUGGACUUUUGCAAGAAUCGGGGGCCAUUGGAGCAGUGUUUAUUUUAGUAGUAGUACUCUAGCAGUGUGUGUAGUAAUAGUGAAGAUGUAUUAAAAUGAAACCUUUUAUAACUGUAACUUGGUUAUAUAUAGCAUCAUAAAGUACCAAGGUGAAAUAAUGGUCAACCUCAGUAUUGGGUGGAUUGUCAACCUUUAUACCUUACUGUUAAAAGGGGUAUCUAGUUUUUUUUUUUUAUAACCUUUUAUUUAAAAAAAAAAAAGGUUAUGUAAUGUGUGAGUAAUAAUUUUCUACCAUCAGGGUAGCAGUGAGACUUCACCCUAGAGAGCAAAUCUUCUCCCAAUGUUCUGAAGAAUGUUCUGGUAAUCAGAGUUGUAUCAUACUCCUGUGAGGGAGUCUCAUUUCUCUAAUAAUUUAUAGGACAGCAAUUAAAGUCUUUUGAAAAAGCUCACAUCAAAACCUAUGAUGAGCAAUCACCCACACACACCUUUGUAAAAUUAUAAAAUCCUUUAAACAGUCAACUCUUGAUCAUUUAGAAAAUCUGGUACCAAUACUUAGCUCCUCAAGUGGGAACAUGGUACAGUAGAAGCCUUCUGUAAAAGACACCCAAUGGCUGAGCCAAAGUGUUCUUUAUAGAGAGGUGUCCUCUUAUACUGGAGAACAACUAAAUCGUGAAAAUUGAUAACUUUGGCAAUGAAAACUGUCCUUUGUUGAGAGGUGUCUUCUCAUGGAGGUUCUACUAUACAGAUGAUGUUUGGUUACUUUCAUUCAAACUGGUGCCAUUGUUAGGCCUGUACAAGAGUCAUUAAAGUCCCUAUAUAUUUAAAAUACUCCACUGUACAGUAGAACCUCCCUUUAGCGGACACCUCUCCACAAAGGGCAGUUUUCAUUUGCAAAAUGACCAUUUUUACAAUUUAGCAACUCUCCGGUAAGAGGACACCUCUCCCUAAAGGACACUUUGGCUCUGCAAUUAGGUGUCCUUUACAGGGAGGUUCUACUGUAUAUUAAAAUUCAUAUAAACUAAAACACCUUUAGGGUAGGUACAAUUUGGAUAAGAAACUAACAAAUCCAGCUAAAUAAAUGACAGUAUGACCUUGUUAAUUCGACACGUGGUAAUUCGACCAUGUUUUCAUGUCUUGGUGACCAUCUUAUCAAAUAACAAAGAUCAAUUCAAGCAAACGAUAAUUCAACCGUUUUAAAAAUAAAAUUUUGACAUUAAAUAAUUAUUGAUUAAAUACAAAAAAAAAAUCUAAAAAUGGAAUAUGUUGGCACGCGGGGCACUGCGGCCAUAGUUAGUGUAUAUCGACCCUACAACUGCAAACUAUCGAAUGUGAAAAAUUCAAUUUUGAAGGAGAGAGAAAUGAAGAGACCAUGUGGCCUACCCUCAGUAGAGGAAGGCAUUGAAGGAGGGAGAAAUGAAGAGACCAUGACAUGGUCUCUUCAUUUCUCCCUCCUUCAAUGCCUUCCUCUACUGAGGGUAGGCCACAUGGUCUCUUCAUUUCUCUCUCCUUCAAAAUUGAAUUUUUCACAUUCGAUAGUUUGCAGUUGUAGGGACGAUAUGCACUAUGCUUUUAAAAUGUCAUGAUGUGUUGGAAAUAUCAGUGCCAAAGGUGGGCGAUUUUUGUUUUUAAUCCUGUAUGAUUUAGGCCUAAAUUCUUAAGCAGCGGUAGUCAUGGAAGUAAACAAUGUGGUAGCUUAGAGAAUAAUGUUUUCCCAUUUGAAAUAAUUAAAAGGAAAGACUACAAGCCUUUUGAAGAUUGAUCAGCUAGAAUGCACACUGAAUAGAGUUCUAGUUAAAAAACAAAUAACCAUAAAAGAUUUCUUUAAAAGAUAAUGAUUUUUAAAAAUAAAAUUUUCAGCCUUUCCUUUAUUUUUAAAAUUAUUUGCUUCCCAAUGCAUUUUAUUCACUUAGAUUAAAUUAGUAUUUGUAAAUUUUCCUUUGUUCAAAUAUAUUAUACUAAAAAUUAAUCAUGAAACACAUUCUGAAAAAAUCAAAUAUAUUACACAAAAGUAUUUUCUAAAAUUAUUAUUUUAAUUAUAUAUUUGACUAGCGGGUGUACCCGGCUCCGCCCGGGUUUUACUCGAGGGAAUGUUUGUAGUCUAGUAUGUUGAUAUAAUAAAUCUAUCUGAAUAUUCUGUCCAUUUUCAAGGUGAACAGCUAAGUGUACAAUAGGAGGUGAUCUUUCAUGGAUGCUGAAACCCAGAAUCCUCCAAACAGCUUCUGCGGAACUUAUAUAGCGGCCAGACUGAAAUUGGGUAACCUCAUCAAGGUGAUUCAAAGAGAAAACUGCCUGAUCAGUUCCCUUAUUAAUGUAUUUGCACACGUAUUUGAUGGCCUUCACGGAGCUGCAGUAUUCCACAUUUAUAUGGGAAUCAAAAGCACAAAGGAGAACAGAAUUAUAGGGCACAAUCCAGCGAUUGUCAAUUUCAAAAGUAACUCCUCGCAUAUUCACCGAUGAAGUAAGACCACCUUCAGCAGAGCACCGUCUUCGGUAUCGGGGAUAACCAUCUUCUGUUGUCGAAGUUGUCUCACAAAAACCUUUAGGAUAUUUUUUGCUACAUUUCCCAUCCUUCAUACAUGGAGAAUUUGUAUUCAGAACCCCACAUGGACCAUGAACCAUUUGUUUCAUGACAAUUGCAUGAAGCUCUGGGUCUAAGUUAAUAUCCGGAAUCUCGGCUUGUAUGACCUCAUCAAUUUGAUUAGGUCUAAUUAUGUUCGUAAGCCAAAGCAGUAAAUGCGCAUGUGGCAGACCACGCUUCUGCCACUCUAUUGUGAACAUAAAACACUUGCAAGGCCCAAAUAGCUCAGCCUUAGUCACUAAAUAGAUAAGCUUUUUCAUUUUAAGGUGAAAAACACGACUAAGCAAAUCAUAUCUAUCUUUAGCAGAGUUAUUUGAAAAUAAAUGCAUCUGAAUUUCUUUCCAUUGAGGGUUGCAUGUAAAUGUUAUAAAAAGCUGAGGCCUUCCAUAGCUAUGAACAUAAGUCAUUGCAUCUUGGGUACGCUCAUGCAGAUAAUGGGGACCACCAGUAAAUGAUGAUGGCAGUAUGACUAUUUGGCCUAUAUUGGCUAAAUUCUCAUCUGCUCGCAGAGCAUCUUGCAGGUGAAUAUAAUUUUCUGUCUGAAGCUUUUUCUGAUUGCGCCGUAUGAAGGAAAGCCUUUCUGUUUCAACCUUAGCAUACAUAUCAACCCAGAAUUGAUUUGUAAGCAUGCCAUAACGCAGUAGUGAGUUAAAUUCCCCAGCACGAGCCAUCAUUCUGUAAGCAUAAAAAUUCAUGCACGAUACAGUCUUCUGCAUUAUUUCUCUAGUGGAUAGAUUGACUUGAGGUAGCGAAACAGAAUAACCGACCUCACCCCUGCAAAAAAUUAACGGGUAUUGUAGAGGAUCAUAUGCUUGAUGGAUCUCGGAUAUCCUUUGUGUCAAAUUAUUACGACAAUGUAAUAAAAUAUCUCUUGGCCCAAAUUCCUGACCUACCAUCAGCAGAGCUACUUCAUUGGUCAUGGGCGCAUUGUAGCGACGCUCAUGCUCUUCUGGUGGAAGCUUAUCAGAGUGUAUAAUAAUCCGGUAGUCAGCGUGAUUUUGAGGAAGAGUUUCUAAGGCUGCUUUAAAGGAUUGAAUAUAAUGAUUGUGCGCAUGCAAUAAAUCUUGCAAAGAGCGAACUAAAUCUCUGUUCAAGUUUUCUGUCAUGUUGCAACGUGCAGUAACCUGAGACUCAUAAUUAUCGAAAAAGUAUAUCUGCAGGAAUUUGUGCUCACUAUCAGGUUCUGGAAGGAGACUACCAAUUACGUGGUAAACUUGGCCUUGGACUUUGAAAGUAGGCAUAUAACCUUGCUCCACAACUUGUCUAGCACCAAAAGAUGUCAUUUGGAAUAUAGAGUUAUAUCUACGGAUAUGCAGCAAGAAGGACUUCGAUAGAGGAUGUUGGCCAGAGAGCAAAGAGAAAAUAGGUUCUGGAGGGGACUCAAUAGCAGGUAGAGAAACUCUACCUUGUUUACAACAGAGGCCAAAGGGUUCAUCUUUAAAUCUCAAAGCAGAGCAAAACUGGCAUACCCGAGACAUUUGGCCUAUAUCGACAGAUGAAUCAGCUUUAUAAUCAAUAUGGGCAUUAUACUGCAAACCUGAAAACGGCUUAUGAGUCCAAAGCUGAAUACGCUGAACAGGAACUUGCAUAGUUUGUGUAGCUGCGACGCGGGCUUCAGAAUACCUAAGACGGCGAAGCGCACGACGCGUCUCACUUUGAAGUGGUGUCUCAAUAGCUCUAGCAUUCCUAUAUCUCCUGGAAGCAGCCGUAUUCCUACCAAGUAAACGUCGGCUGUGGCGAGGCAUAUUCUGAAAAAAAAUUUAGAUUGAGAUUAAUAACAAAAGCUUCAAAACCAGCAAUUUCUAAACAAAGCAUAAAAAUUUCCUGUCUUUUUGGGGUAAAAAUCAAAAUUUUUAAAUUUUUUAUUCAAAAUAACCUUCAUAUAUGUUAAAAAGAUUUUAAAAAACUAAAAUCAUAAUAUUAUAUUACCAAAAAAUUAAUGUACAAAACCAGUUAUCAUUAAAAAGCUUCAAAAAUAGACCAACCGCUGGAUACGGCAAUGAAAAAGCAUGCUUUUUUUGAGGUAAAAAAUAGAAAUAAUUUUCUAAAAUACAAAAUACAACCCCUAUAUGUUAAAAAAAUAUAUAUAUAUAAAUAAUUUAAAUAUAAAAUAUUUAAUCAAAUAAAUGAAUCCGUAAAAGAAAUCCCUUGCUUAUUUAAAAAUAUAAAUAACCUAUUUUUUAGAUACAACCCAUAUAUGUAGAAAAUAUAAUAAAUAAACUGUAUUUAAAAGAUCAAAGCAAUAAUUAAAAAAUUCCAUAAGAAAAUUUAAAAAAGGACCUC